CUGCUGCCUUCCGUAGGAGUCUGGUCCGUGUCUCAGUACCAGUGUGGGGGACCUUCCUCUCAGAACCCCUACGCAUCGUCGGUUAGGUGGGCCGUUACCCCGCCUACUGCCUAAUGCGCCGCAUGCCAUCCCUGUCCGGCCGAAGCCUUUCCUGCCUCCGGGAUGCCCCGGUGGCAUGUACGCGGGUUUAGCCCGCCUUUCGGCGGGUUGUCCCCCUGACAGGGGCAGGUUGCAUACGUGUUACUCACCCGUGCGCCGGUCGCCGGCGGAGAAAG
Molecule: ribosomal RNA, 275 nt
Filed under: uncultured bacterium
Lineage: Bacteria
Description: partial 16S ribosomal RNA
Source: RNAcentral